CUCAGUUUAUGCAGAUUGUUCUGCUCUGAGCUACAUAAUGUUGGUGCUGCGUGUGGCUGAACUCGUCCUCAUCACUGUUGUUACUGUUCUUCUCUUCAGAGCUCGAGCAGGGAACCAGAGAGCACCUGAUGACCACACUGUUUCUUACUCAGUAAGAAGCAGAACAGCGAGGCGUUCAGGUCCAGCAGCCAGUCAGGUAAAUAUCUGAUGGUGCGUUCAGGGUCUGCUGACUCCACUGUGACCUGUGUUCAGUUUUUAAACUUCAACAGUCAGCUGGGAGGAAAAUCUGGGAGUUUGAGGCUCUUUCAAAUUCAUUAAUUUGUAUAUGUGAGAUUAUUUCUGAUUGUGUUGAAUGUG
Scomber scombrus (Atlantic mackerel) is the source of this 357-nucleotide long non-coding RNA. RefSeq lists it as uncharacterized. Lineage: Eukaryota; Metazoa; Chordata; Actinopteri; Scombriformes; Scombridae. The record is from RefSeq and is a predicted model, not a curated record. The transcript has 3 exons.